UACGGAGGGUGCGAGCGUUGUCCGGAAUCACUGGGCGUAAAGGGUGCGCAGGCGGCCGAGUGUGUGAGGCGUGAAAGCCCGGGGCUUAACCCCGGAAUUGCACCUCAAACUACACGGCUAGAGCAUUGGAGAGGGUAGCAGAAUUCAUGGUGUAGCAGUGAAAUGCGUAGAUAUCAUGAGGAAUACCAGAGGCGAAGGCGGCU
This 203-nucleotide ribosomal RNA is filed under the name uncultured bacterium. Its description in RNAcentral is "partial 16S ribosomal RNA". It matches the Rfam family "Bacterial small subunit ribosomal RNA", at positions 524 to 726 of the family's 1533-position model. The record is from RNAcentral.